ACUACUUUAUUGAGGUGUGAUUGACACACAAAAAUCUAUACAUAUUUAACAUAUAUACCUUGAUAGGUUUGCAGAGAAAUAUAUGGCUAUGAAACCAGAACCGCAAUCUAUGCCAUAAAUCUAUCCAUCAUGUUAAGCUUUAUUUUAUGCUUAGUUAGGAUGGGUCUAUUUCUGUUUUCUCCUUAAUUCAAGUGUUAUGUUCUGAUGAAAAGUGAUAUUUGGAGUUUCCAUCAUGGCAAAGCAGAAAGGAAUCUGACUAGGAAUCUUGAGGUUGUGGGUUUGAUCUCUGGCCUUGCUCAUUGAGUUAACGAUCUGGCAUUGCCAUGAACUGUGGUGUAGGUCACAGACGCGGCUGGAAUCUGAUGCUGCUGUGCCUGUGACAUAGGCCAGCAGCUGUAGUUCUGAUUGAACCCCUACCCUGGGAAGCUCCAUGUGCUGCGGGUGCGGCCCUAGAAAGGAAAAAAAAAAAAGGAUGUUCUUAUUCCAACAGAACAUUCUGGUUUUUUGUUUUUGUUUUUUUGUCUUUUGUUUUUUGUCAUUUUAGUUGCUACACCUGCGGCACAUGGAGGUUCCCAGGCUAGAGGUCUAAUCGGAGCUGUAGCUGCUGGCCUACACCACAGCCACAGCAAUGCAGGAUCCGAGCCAUGUCUGCAAACUACACCACAGCUCCCGGCAAUGCCGGAUCGUUAACCCUCUGAGCAAGGCCUGGGAUCAAACCCACAACCUCAUGGUUCCUAGUCGCAUUCGUUUCCGCUGCACCAUUCCGGGUUCUUAAGCGACUUCCCGAGGCUAAGCUAGCAGUGACACCUGUACUGUAUGAGCUUUGGUCAUUUCUUUCAGAUUUGAACUGACCAGCAACUACCCUCUUCUCCAUCUAGUCAAGAAUCACCAUGAACAUGUGAUAACUAGUUCUCAGACUGUUGAAAACAUUUGUACAGAAUUUAGGAGUCCUUUCUUUGUAGAAAGGACUGUAUCACCUUCAUUACCCUGAACAUAUUCUAGCCACUUCAGCAGUUCCAAACUCUGAUUUCUGCCUCAGUAUCUCUACAAACCAGUUGUCAGAUCCAAUGCUGGUUUGAAUGAGGAACUGCCUCUAAUUUUUUUCUUUCAGAAUAUUGGUCAAAAUAGGAAUGCAUAUAAACAAUUUCCUUAAUGCAUUAUAACUAACCUCUAUACUAACAAAGUUUAUCUUUAGAAUUAGAAAAAAAUCAAACAACCAAAACAUGGUAGCAUACUUUUGAACAAAAAUAUAUUUCUAGAAAUAGAUUCAAAUUUUAAAAAUGUUCAAACAAACAAAUAUUGAGAGUUCCCUAUGUGGCUCAGCUGUUAAUGAAACCAACUAGGAUCCAUGAGGAUGCAGGUUCAAUCCCUGGCCUUACAUAGUGGGUUAAAGAUCUGGCAUUGCUGUGAGCUAUAGUGUAGGUCACAGAGGUGGCUUGGAUCCUGCGUUGCUGUGGCUGUGGUGUAGGCCAGCAGCUGUAGUUUCAAUUCCACCCCUAGCCUGGAACCUCUAUAUGCCAUAACAUAAGUGCAGCCCUAAAAAGCAAAAAGCAAAAAAAAAAAAAAACCAAAAAACACACAAAAACCCCCAAAUCCAAAAAACAAACAAAAACCAUAUUUUAAGAGAUUUUUCCAUCAGCAGACCCUCUCUAUAGGAAAUUCUGAGGACAAUGGGAUAUUUAGUCAGGAGGACAAUUUUGCUAGAAUGACAGAGAAAGGACAAAAUGAAAAAAAAGAAAAGGGAGCGAUAUGUGAAUAAAUUUAAAUAAAUGUUGAUGAUAUAAAACAAUACUCAAUGUAUCUUUUGGGAUUUAAGAAAAAAUAAAACUGAAUUAAGAUGAAAAAUAAUCAUUGCAAAUAAGUUGUGGAAGUGAAUGAUGUUAAAAUAUUCUAAGAUCCUAAAUUAUGCAGGAGAAGGAAAAUGAUAUUAGACUUUGAAAUUAAGCAUGCAUAUUUAAAUUUUUACAGUAAUAACUAAACUAUUUGAAAUAGAGCAUAUUCCUUUCCUGAUUGAGGAGGAUUCCUAGUGAAUCUAUUUCAAUGGGCUAUAGCUUCUGCUGCUUCCUGGUUAAGAUAUUUUUUCUGUGUGCUGAGUUACUUUAACUUUGAAAUGAUCAUUUUCCUCAUGAUUCUACUUGUACAAACAGUUAGGGUUUAGGGUGACGGUGGGUCUCUUCAGGGAGAAUGUGUAAAUUCUUCUGCUAUUUGCCAUUGGAAUUACAGGAUAUAUGGACUUAUGUAAAAUGCCAAGAAAAUAAAUAUAUGCCGUAUGUGAAAACUUUAAAAAAUUAUUGAGAGCUAGAAAACACUUGGAAACACAUGUUAUUCAAGGAAUUCAAAACACAGCAUUUUAGUAGGUGUUACUGUAUUUGUAAAGUUAUUUAUGUGUUAUUUGGAUUUUCAUCUGAAUGAGGAUAUUACUUAUUUCCACGCUAAAAUUAGUUUGAAAUUUCCUAAAGCGAUCCCUUGAAACUUUGUUUUGAAUCAUCUUAGCUUUUACAUUUGUGUAACAGUAUUUUUUUUUAUGCUGAGACAAAUAGGAAAUUUAUUCUAUACUUUAUCCCAUUUGUAUGGCGUGUAACAGUAUUUUAAAGGUACAUUAUUUUCUCACAUGUGUAUUGUUUAGUUAAAGACACGUCUACAAAAACAUUUAGACAAUUAUGCUUUCUUCCUCUUAGAAAAUGUGGCCAGAUCUGUGAGGUAGUACAAGGUAAACUUUUACGGUCCAUUCUCUUAAACAUAAAAAUAUCAGUUCUAGAAAACUCUGGGGAGGAUUCAUUAAAUACCGUAAAUUCCUUGACUCAUGCAGUGUCUACAAAAGGGCCUAACAUAUGGAAAGUGCUCAAGAAACAUUUGUGGAAAUAUGAAAAGAAGAAAGGGUCAGAGUAAGUUAUGAAAUGAGAUAAAAUAAAUUGUUUAAUCAAUUAUAGGAUAUUUAAAUUGAAUUAUACUAACCACUCAUUGUAAACUAUAAGGACAGAAAUUUAGCAUUCGAUAUACUCAUUGAAAUAUCUAUAAUCUCCUUGUCUUAUUCAGUUUUGGCUGUAUUACAAAACAGCAUAUACAGUCUGAGUGGCUUAAACAAUGGACAUUUCUCUCUCACAGUUCUGGGAGCUGGGAGGUCCAAGAUCAAAGCACCACCCAGAUUUUGUUCCCGGUGGGAACCCCCUUCCUGGCUUAUGGACGGCCACCCUUUCGUUUUGUCCUCAGGUGGCAGGGAGCACUUUGGUCUCUUUCCUCCUAUUAUAUGGUCACUGAUCCCUUUAUGAGGAAGGUCCCACCCUCAUGGCCUCAUCCAAAAGGAACUACUUCCCAAAGGUUCCAUCUCCAAAUAAAUCACACUGGGGGCGGGGUAGGGCUUCGGCAUCUAAAUUUUGGGGGGCAGAUACAUUCAGUCCAUAAUACUCCUAAUGUUUUAACUGAGUACAAAAUAAUCAUUCUGCUUGGAUAAUGCAGAAAUAUAGAUUAUACAGAAAUAAUCAAACAGAUUUGAUUUCUCUCAAUCCGAAAGAGAUCAUUACUGUAUGAUUCUUCUUACAAUGGUCAUUGUUUUCCAGUGUUUAACUCAAGCCAUACUGGGGACAAUCUUGAAACAAAGGUUUAGCAGAUUUGGAAAUACAUUUUAGAAUAAUUUUAAUAUUGGAAGCAGAAUUUAACAAUAAGAAGUUUUUUAGUUUAAAUGCACCUGUAUCUCUUUCUUAUAUAUAAAAUACUCAUUUCAUAUAAAAAUAUGCAUACCAAAUCACAACUAUUUGCACUGAUACUAUAUACAUAAGUUAACCAAUUAAUGAAAAUUCUAGGGGAGUGAAUAUACUUACUGGUACUAAGACAAAAUAUUAACUCAGGUAGUCAGUGUAGGAACAUGGGCUCUGAUACAUUCUUUGGAUAUGGAUAUUGAUUAACUUUUGUGGCUUAAGGGCUCCAGGGAGUAACACCUCCACAGGCCUCCUUUAUUAUAGGAAAUUUGCAUUCCCCACAGACUGUUUACUGUGGGAAAUGCAAAUCUCUAGGCCACUCCUCAACUGAUAAAAAAGGAAUGAGAGGAAUGGUGACUUAAUCUAAGGAGAAAAGGACAGGGAAACCAUUGAAGACAAUGACAUUGAUAAUACCUAGCAACCAUAAUAACAAUAAUAUUAAUAAGGAAUAUGCAGGAGGAGGAGAACAAGAAGAAUAAAAAUAAGAUUUGCUAACACAGAAUACACACCAAAUGCCAGUUCUAUCUACUACAAACAGAGUAAAUCUUUUCUCUCUCACAAUUCUACGAUGAUAAUAUAUUGUAGCAAAUAGAACGAAAGGUGAUAAAAUUAAGAUAGGUCCAGUUUUGGAAGCAAAGUAAUCAUAAGAACUUCAAUCUUUGUCCUCUUGGACAUGAAGAAUUAAUGAACACUUACAGCUCAUCCAACUCACUAGUAAAUACUUAAAAUAACAUUUAUAUGGAAUUACAAGAAAAUCCAUGCAUGGUUAAGAAUCAUAUUAUCAAGUUAAUAAAGUAUAUUCUCAAUUGAUACUUAAAAAAAAAUUGAACUACCUAAAAUUAAAUCAAUUAGGCAGUUCAUUCUAGGCUUUUCCUACCAAUCUUACAACUGCCCAAGAUGACCAUAAGGUUUCCCUCAGUUUAAUGAAACUUCUAGAAAGGCAUCUUUCAGCCUCUAGGCCCCAGACCCCCUUUCUCUCUCUCCCCCAACCUAACAGAAUCCAGGUGGACGAACUACAGAGAUAUUUUCUUAGGGAAUUUUCUUUAGAACAAUUAUAACGUCCUUCUCUGCCCCUUUGAGAUGUAAAUCUGUUUUAAAAGCCUCUGGUCAAGUUUACCUCCUAGGAUUUUCUCAAGGACCUGGGAGGCACGCCUUUGAAAUGAAAUUAACAAGGAAAUGGGCUCCUAUAGGAAAGCAGGAGCCUAGUGGACUUCAGGGGGCCAGAGCUUCCCCCAAAAUGCAAAACUACCUCCUGUCAUGAAGACAGGAAAAAGUUUACUUUUCAUUUGGGAAGGGCCAGUUAGCACACACAGUUGGCCUUUAUCCCCUGCAUCACAGCUCUUAAAAUUCUCUAGCUUUUUUUUUUCUUUGUUUUUAACGGCUGCUGCUGCUGCGGCAUACGUAAGUUCCCAGGUUCAGAGAUUGAAUCCCAGCUGCCGCUGUAACCUAUGCAUCACUGCCCCAAGGCAGGAUCCUUUAACCCACUGCCUUGGUCAGGGAUUGAACUCUUGCCUCCACAGGGCCUGAGCUACUUGCAGUCUGAUUCUUAACCCACUGCACCUCAGCUAGAAUUCCUUUCUAGCCUUUCGCUUCGGCAGAAUUGAAUUCAGACUGCAUUCUGACCUCUAUACUGCAUUGUAAUAGCAUAGAAUAAACUGUACUUACCAAAACCCAGUACAAUUUUUGCUUUGGUAUAAUUAUCAUCUCAAACUCUGAAGAUAGUAACAUUUUGGGGAAUAAACCUCUAGAUUUAAUUUAAUCCAAAAAAUGUAAAUUUCAACUAUGUAGUCAAUGCCCUUAAGUAGUAGAUUGGUUAUCACCAAACUAGGUCUACUCAAGUUGGCUAAUAAGGGGUUAUGCAAAUAGAAAAUAAACAAUUCAAUAUUUGCUUCUUUAACAACUUGAUGUAUUAAUCUCAAAAAUUACUUUCCAUUUUUAAUUUGCAUGGAACUUUAUAAUCUAAAUCUUGCAUUAAAAUGAUAUUAUAUUAUUCCAACAAGAGUAUUACUAUCAAUAUGCAUGAAAACUUUGCAUUAAUGUUUUUUAAAAAUAUAUAUAUUAAAGAGGAUAUAGCUUAACAAAGCUGAUGACAUUCUAUGCAUAUAAUUCUUAGAUGAGUUCAUAUUUCAAUAUAAUAUUAACAGCCUAUAAUUUUUUCUCUGAAUAUAGAUAACAUUUAAUGGAAGUUGCAAGAAUUAUACAGUUAAAAAUUACAUUGUAUUAAUGAUAGGCAUCCUUCAGAAAAAAAAAAUCUGUAAAACUUAAUGAAGAUAAAUCUA
This 5974-nucleotide long non-coding RNA is filed under the name Sus scrofa (pig). RNAcentral's name for it is "lncRNA (ENSSSCG00060040278.1)". The record is from RNAcentral. Lineage: Eukaryota; Metazoa; Chordata; Mammalia; Artiodactyla; Suidae.